CGGGAUAGCUCAGUAGGUAGAGUAUGAGACUGAAAAUCUUGUUGUCACCAGUUCAAAUCUGGUUCCCGGC
Molecule: transfer RNA, 70 nt
Filed under: Vicia sativa (common vetch)
Lineage: Eukaryota; Viridiplantae; Streptophyta; Magnoliopsida; Fabales; Fabaceae
Description: tRNA-Phe
Rfam family: tRNA
About the family: Transfer RNA (tRNA) molecules are approximately 80 nucleotides in length. Their secondary structure includes four short double-helical elements and three loops (D, anti-codon, and T loops).
Source: RNAcentral